Molecule: long non-coding RNA, 476 nt
Organism: Nothoprocta perdicaria
Lineage: Eukaryota; Metazoa; Chordata; Aves; Tinamiformes; Tinamidae
Exons: 3
Source: RefSeq, a predicted model, not a curated record
AGCCCUGCAAAGGAAGGCAAAGGCAUUCUGCUGGCUCUCUUCCUUACCUUUUUGGGAGGAUGAAAGAAUGAUUUAUAGUUUAAUAACUGAGUAGUGAUUAAUCAAAUAACUGACUCAUUGAUUUAUUAUGAAGCAAUUUCCUAAGGAUGAUAAAAUAGCAACUCCAAAAUGGGUGCUUUUGGUUGGAGCUCUUUAUGAGGCUAUUUAGGUUACCGUUCCAUCUUGCUAAUGCGUGUUCAGUGCUAGAUCAACAGUUUCUAAUGUUCAAAUGCCUGCUCUAAAACCAGAAUUUUGAGUCUAAAGGAGCCUUCUGCCUGCAGUUUCCCUUCUGGCAGAAAAAAAGACUGGAGUCAUCCAAAAUGARUAAGGGUUUCUACUUGAACGCCUGGGCUGAACAAAACAGUCCUGGAAGAAAGUUCUAGUGUCUCUGACACCCUAGGUUUAAAACAAGCAGAYGAAGGUGGCUGCUGCAAGGA